AGGAAACUAAUGAUAAAAGGAAACCAACUAACUACUAAUCCCGUACUCAAUCUUAGAGCCCCUCUUUUAGAUCCAUAAAAGUGGCUCAAUACACUCCAAAUCACAUGGAUUGAAGGCCCAACACAUAUACAACCCAACCCCAGGCUUAUUCCUAAUAAAACAAGCAUUUUUUGGUGAUUAAUCUGCAUCAUUUGGUGUUUAUCUCCAUAAAUGAUUCCGUUGAAUAAAGAUAAGGCCACCAAAUAAGAGUAAAUGUUCCCAUAACUUUUCAAGCCCAGUUUUGAAACCUCAAGCAGUGGAUACUAAUGCUUGAACAUUUUCCCUAAGAAAUGGCUGGAAAAUGCAAGUGCAAAAUAUAAACUCAUCUGUAAGAAACCAAAGACAAUACCGCCAAAUAUAAAUCCCUGCAGAUAAUAAUUACUUGCCUAUUAUCAUAAUUCCAUGUAAUUGAGAAUUUGAUGUACAUAAAUCAUACUAUUGACAUAUUUAUCCAACAAAGGGACCUUUGACCCUAGUUAAUGAUUGAGUCAAGGCAAGUAAGCAAGUGUUUCAAGCACUUGAACUCAAGAUUCAAAACCAAACAAAACAUUUCAACAAACUAGUUUCAUAAACCUUUUGAACUCAACUAUACAUAACUACAGAAUUAUUAAAGGGGAAGAGAAACAAAUAAAAUCUAGGAAAGUGGUUACUGCAACACUAGAUAAAGAAACGAACCUGUUUAUGGUUGAGUGCAAGACUGAACAAGAAACAAGCUAUCAAAUCAUUUUUAUGGAAGAUGGAAACAACAACUCCUAUUAUGAAGCCCAAGUUAAUACAGUUGUAUCAGCAAGGAACCCACAUAAUAUAAGUUUACUUUCUUCUCUUGAUGCAUAUAUAUAUAUAUAUAUAUAUAAAGUUGAAAAAAGGAGGAAGUAAAACUGGAUUUUUGAUGCACAAUCGCUUCAGACCUGAAAAUGGCUGUGAUCAAUUAGGAUAAGACAGGGGCUAACUAAAAUCAUAGCAAGAUGCCAUGCAAUGCCUUCUUUGUGGCCACUGCGGUGACCGGUGUAGUAUACCCUGAUGAAGCAUAGAACUGCAGGGAAAAAGAUGAGGGCAUUGGCUGACAACACUGUCCACCUUAUGAGUUCUUUAGAGGAAAGAAGACUUUCUAAAAUCUUACCAAAAAUAUGAGGUGUGGGUUCUGCUUGUUUGAAACCAUUAUGUGGGUAGAGAUUGGGUUUGGGGAAGGCCUGAGUUUCACAAUGAAGCAAGAUUACUCAAGGGGGUCUUAGAAUCCAACAACAGUUGCUCCUGCAAUUCAACCUGCAAUCUGAAGGUUUUCUCCCUUACUUAUCAGACACCCUCAAGAUCAAGGGCCGAAGGGCAUACUAGGGACAAUGGUGUGGAGUUGGAUGUCAGCCCCACAUCCACUCCUUCCGAAUCCUGGGCAGCUGGCAGUUGAAGCUUACCACCCGAUAUGGGGAUAUUAAGUUUAGGCUCUAAUGCAUCUGGACUCAACCACAACCUGAUGUGGGGCUUGGCCUAGGUUGACUUUUUGCCCAGUCGAUCCUGGCCGAAUGACCCUACUUGACUGAAUAGUAAACUAAAAUCCAAAUAUCUAGACAAUGAUAUAUUUCUAAUGGUUGUUGGGUUCAAGACUAUAGUGGACAAAUUUACUUCAAUUAAGGUCUUGUUACACAGAAGCUGACGACAAUCUUAUCCCCCAGGAAAAAAAAUGUUGCAAAGUUACUUAUAUAUGGAAUGAAGAAAAAAAAAAAACUUUUGUUUGCCUUGUUCAUCAUCUUCUCAAUCUUCCUCUCUUGAACUUUCUUCGUCGCUCAAUUAGUGCCAUUUUAAAUGUCAUUAAAAGCCACUCAUCUUUGAAAAUGAUGAGUCCUAUGACAAUUCCACAUCCAUAACCAAUCAACAUGGAUUUCCAAUCAAAUUCAAAGUCAUUUGCUGACUUUGAUUCCUCACCUUGUGGCAGCACUAAUAGAGAAGAUGAGGGGAAGAGAAGAGGGAGAAGAAGAGAGAAGGAGAUGGAAACCGAAUAUGGGAGAGAAAAGAUUCCUCUCCCCUAUUUGAUUUAUUGACAUGACGUAAGAAAUUAUAUACACCUCCCUAGGGAGGUAAAAGGUAAAAAAUUAUAAUUAUAACAUAAGACAAUGAGGUACUAAACUAGUGCCCAAACUACCCUUAUUACAUAAACAAUAGCAAUGUGUUGUUAUUCAAAGAUUGCUUAUGAAGGUUUGUUCACCAAAUUGUUGCUCCAUAACAAUCUUUUGGUGCUAUUUUUUAGGGCUCUUUGAUGGGGCUUUUCUUUAUCUUCAUUUGUCGAGGUAAUCUGUGAUUUUCUUCCGUAUCCUCUUUGUGUUGGUUUGGAGAUAAGUUCUUUUAGUAAUUAAUUGUACACGACUUUUCUGAGCAAAUGGGUUUUUUCCUCGUCAUGUCUUGUAGCCAUUCCAUCGUCUUUAGAUGUGGUAAUCAAUGCAGAGAUUUCCUUGCUAAUGGUUGGUUAUUAUAGGUAAGUUUCUCUUUUUUUUGCAACUCUCUUUCUCUCUCUCGUUCUAUUUCUUACUCAAGAACUGCAAAAUUCUUACAAGAAAGAAUUAAUGUUUGGUAAGGCAAGGUGCUUUAAUCAAAUGUGACGUUUAUUGAUGAGCAUAGUCUUAUUGGAAGAAUUCUAUACAGUGAUCUUGAUCUGUUUAUACAUGAAUCUUUUGGUUUGGACAUGAUCACUAGGAAUAUUGAUUAUGAGGUUGUAAAAUAUAUUACCCAUGAUUUCAUUGAUAGAACUGUUAAAGCACAUUACAUAAUUAUUCAGUUGUGCAGGUGAGUUGAUUUGAUAUUGUCUGAUCUUAUCACUGAUUCCAGCCGUAGUUCCUUGAUUCCUACACAUGUUUUGUUUAUGCUUUCGAAAGGGUUGAGUAGAUCCAUUUUCAAAUGCAACUCGGGAAGAAGCUGCUAAGAUCCUGAGUACAUUAAACUAUGCAGAACCAGCUGGAUACGGUGAUUUCAAGAUACAACCAAGGCCUCCAGGAUCUGCUUUUAUGAGGUAUCAGUUUGUCCCACAGAUGAUCUUUUUCAACUGCCUCUUUGGGUAUCUUGCACUCU
Molecule: long non-coding RNA, 3093 nt
Organism: Macadamia integrifolia
Lineage: Eukaryota; Viridiplantae; Streptophyta; Magnoliopsida; Proteales; Proteaceae
Exons: 4
Source: RefSeq, a predicted model, not a curated record